GUCCACGCCGUAAACGAUGAGUGCUAGGUGCUGCGGGUAUUGACCCCUGCGGUGCCGUAGCUAACGCGUUAAGCACUCCGCCUGGGGAGUACGGCCGCAAGGCUAAAACUCAAAGGAAUUGACGGGGGCCCGCACAAGCGGUGGAGCAUGUGGUUCAAUUCGACGCAACGCGCAGAACCUUACCUGGGUUAAAUCCACUCGAACCUUGCAGAGAUGCGGGGGUGCUCUUCGGAGAGCGAGUGAGAAGGUGCUGCAUGGCUGUCGU
RNAcentral lists this ribosomal RNA (265 nucleotides) under uncultured bacterium. Its description in RNAcentral is "partial 16S ribosomal RNA". It matches the Rfam family "Bacterial small subunit ribosomal RNA", at positions 793 to 1055 of the family's 1533-position model. The record is from RNAcentral.